Homo sapiens (human) is the source of this 354-nucleotide long non-coding RNA. Ensembl annotates it as testis associated oncogenic lncRNA. Its record names the gene THORLNC. The record is from Ensembl. NCBI's taxonomy places the organism in Eukaryota, Metazoa, Chordata, Mammalia, Primates, Hominidae.
GAAACGCCGGCUGAUGAAACUGACAAAGGCGAGAGCGCGCAGCAGCCCACAGCAGCCGAGUUCGCGCCGCCGGUAGGUGCUGCCAUGCCAGGGGGCGGGAUCGUGGAGCGCCUCGCAGAACCGCACGAAAGCAAAAACAAAGCCAUCUCUCCGGAGCAGAAAUAGAACAGACGUGGCCGGGGAAAGCCAAAUAUUUGUGAGAUGAUGUGAACAAAGGGGGAAAAGUCAAUCCAGGGAAGUUUGAGUUUCUGGUUGGAGGCUUCAGCGGCUCUGAUCGCUGGAUACUUUAAGAGAACAUCCUUUGCCCCCGCUCUCCCUCUCUCCCCGAAGAAAAAUAAAUCCUUGGCAAAAUGA